GUCUUCGUGGAGCAGAGAUACUCGUUCCCUCUAAAUACACCACCGCUGCAGGUACACGUGGGAAAGCUGGUGGUUCGACUCCACCCGAAGACA
Mycena rosella is the source of this 93-nucleotide non-coding RNA. The record is from the annotation of a GenBank genome assembly. Lineage: Eukaryota; Fungi; Basidiomycota; Agaricomycetes; Agaricales; Mycenaceae.